GCGCCCUCAAGUGACGUCAUUCAAGAACAAUCACGUGAUAUUUUGGAAGGGGAGAGGAGGGGAAGCAGGAGAGAAAUAUAUAUGUGGGAAAAAAUUGUAGAGGGGAAGAGGAGGCAGUGAGAGAGAAGUGAGGGGGUGACACCUCCUUCUACCCUCCCACCAGCACACACCACAGGGCCCACAGGCAUGAGAACCGAAAUGGAGGGUCUGCACCCUCACACGGAAUGUUGCGUUCCGUUCCGGACUGUGGGAGGCAUUGCCCACGACAAGGCCGUGAUUAGAAGAAACUCCCGCUGGUACAGGCUGUUCCGAAAAUAGGCAACAGACCGGGCGGAUGCAAGUUCGGGACUUCCCCUUCACCCACCCAGAAAUCACAAAACUUCUCCACGAUUAAGAACAAUUUCUCAACGCUGUUUAGAGAAAUAAUCGCAGCUUAAUCUGAGAAUUAUAGAAAACCGAUUAACACAAAAUGCAAUUACGACUAUUAAAGCAGUUGGAACAUACAAUUAACACUGGUCUUUGAGGGUUAACUUGGGUCUGCAUCAUGUCGGAAGCCUGUAAUCCUCACAUAUACAGCCGAAGAGGGGGAGAAAGGUGAAGACAAGUGGAAAGGAUGCGCCUGGUUUCGAACCACUAGUAGACUACAAAAUCCCCUUUAAAAAUCUCCUGCUUAUUUAAUUUUCGUACUUCCUUCUUCGUCUUACAAAUAUAAGCGGUACUUCGUGUCUCAUAGAUAUUCCUUUGUCUUCUUUCUGUCUCUGAUUCUUUCUGCAAGGUUUAGCAAACAAUUUUUGUGAAAAUAAUGCACUUAAACAGGACAGAACAGGAUGGUGCCGGCAUAUACGUGCGUACAUAAAGGACUCCUUCAAUUCAGAUUGUAGAACAGUUUCUUUGUAAUCGCAAUUCAGAUAUAAUUUAAGAUUCGGAAGAAGGAAAUGACUGUUUCGUUGCCAAAUUAACCGUACGCUAAGAUACACGUACAUACAGCCUGUAAAAGGAGGGUAAAAAUUCCAGAUGGUGGUUUCUUUUCAAUGCAAUAUCCUGAAACAUAAUUUUCAUACUAUAUUUUAAACGCAUUAGUGUACAAUGAGAUGUCAUAUUAUUCAAACCAUUAGACCCUACACAGGAAGGAACUACACAAAGUUCAUAACCUCAACCUGUCAGGUCAACUGUGCAAUGUUAUAUAGGCCUAUAUUUGUAAUGUAAUUAUUAUUCUCCUCAAAGUGGUAAUAAUUUGGUCCGGAUGAUAUAUGCCCCCACCCAGGCAUUAUCCCCACCACUCUUCAAAAUGUGGUUAUGUACAAAAAAUAUAAAAAUAUAUCUCGUGACCACAUAAAAAAUUCCUUUACUUUACCUCUUAUUCCACCCCAAACCGACCUUUUUCAGGUAUAAGUGAAUUUCUGUUACUCAAAUGUCCAGAAGGGGGGAAAAAUCAUAGAUACUAGUACAUUUCGAAUUAGAAGCGGUGUAUUACACCUACCAGUCCUCUGGCCCUAAUUAGGAUAAAUACUUAGUUGUCAUGGAAAUGUUUCUGUUCAUGCAAUGUCUUUAUAGGUCCCUUACUUCGCAACUCCGUUGCCAAACUGCGUUUAUCUCUGUUCAGACCCUCGGUUCAUAUACAGGUACAGUUGCGUCUGGUGCGUAUUUUAGCACAAAGCCAUGGCCAUUUUAUCUUCAGGGAAGAACCACUCUCUACUGGUCUCAGAGUCAAUACAAUGCCGUGUGAACUGUGACACCAUGUAGCAAAACACAUUAGAAGUAUCCUGAUGAAGGCAGCAUCCACUCGUUUUGCUAUGUAACAGUGCCACUUGAUUUUAUUCCAAGCGCCAGUCAAUUUGUUUCUGAGUUUGCACCAUAAGCGUUUAACGGCAGCACUCGACUGAGGACAAAGAGGAAAACAGGUUAAGAAGCUAAUGACAGACGCACUGCAGGCAUCCUGGAAAGAUACGACGUCGUGGUUAUUUCCGUACUGAGGAUGUUUCAAAGACACGACUUUUACUACAACCUCACAUCUCACAGCAAACGUACAUCGUAUUUCUUUGUGUGGCUUGUUGGAUGGAGAUGCGUAGAUGGACAAGUGGGUGACUGACUGGACAUGUAGCUAGUUCCUUACGCACGAAGUUGUGCGUGUGGUCGUAAAGGGCGAACGGUGUUCGGAAAAUGUAUGGACCUGCUCCAGAACGGAGGACAAACUUCGACUCCUGUUAUCCCCUACAACACGUAUCCACUACUCAUCAGUUACAGUUAACAGAAUUCUUUAAUACUUCCAACAGAAAUAUUCUUAACUAAGCUGAUUCUGAUGCGGUCCCCAUCAUGAAAUAACUUAGAGGCAUUUCAGAAAUAUUGCUUUGAAAAAUUAUCUUCAUGCUGAAUUCCAGGAAAUUUAUUAUCUAUAAUUUAAAUAAAAGAAUAAAAACACA
Non-coding RNA from Zootermopsis nevadensis, 2420 nucleotides. Lineage: Eukaryota; Metazoa; Arthropoda; Insecta; Blattodea; Termopsidae. The record is from RefSeq and is a predicted model, not a curated record.